RNAcentral lists this ribosomal RNA (138 nucleotides) under uncultured bacterium. Its description in RNAcentral is "partial 16S ribosomal RNA". It matches the Rfam family "Bacterial small subunit ribosomal RNA", at positions 1361 to 1500 of the family's 1533-position model. The record is from RNAcentral.
CGUGAAUACGUUCCCGGGCCUUGUACACACCGCCCGUCACACCAUGAGAGUUGGGAAUACCCGAAGCCUGUGAGCUAACUUUAGAGGCAGCAGUCGAAGGUAGAAUCAAUGAUUGGGGUGAAGUCGUAACAAGGUAAC